CCUACGGGAGGCAGCAGUGGGGAAUUUUGGACAAUGGGGGCAACCCUGAUCCAGCCAUGCCGCGUGAGUGAAGAAGGCCUUCGGGUUGUAAAGCUCUUUCGGCGGGGAAGAAAUGGCAACGGCUAAUAUCCGUUGUUGAUGACGGUACCCGCAUAAGAAGCACCGGCUAACUACGUGCCAGCAGCCGCGGUAAUACGUAGGGUGCGAGCGUUAAUCGGAAUUACUGGGCGUAAAGCGUGCGCAGGCGGUUUCGUAAGACAGACGUGAAAUCCCCGGGCUCAACCUGGGAACUGCGUUUGUGACUGCGAGGCUAGAGUACGGCAGAGGGGGGUAGAAUUCCACGUGUAGCAGUGAAAUGCGUAGAGAUGUGGAGGAAUACCGAUGGCGAAGGCAGCCCCCUGGGUUAGUACUGACGCUCAUGCACGAAAGCGUGGGGAGCAAACAGGAUUAGAUACCCUGGUAGUCCACGCCCUAAACGAUGUCAACUAGGUGUUGGAAGGGUUAAACCUUUUAGUACCGCAGCUAACGCGUGAAGUUGACCGCCUGGGGAGUACGGCCGCAAGGUUAAAACUCAAAUGAAUUGACGG
This 587-nucleotide ribosomal RNA is filed under the name uncultured bacterium. RNAcentral describes it as "bacterial SSU rRNA". It matches the Rfam family "Bacterial small subunit ribosomal RNA", at positions 338 to 916 of the family's 1533-position model. The record is from RNAcentral.